AUUGCUUGGUUGAAAACUCAUCUAAUAAUCUCAGAAAGCCAAGAAUGCUGACCAUACUCCCUGUAACAUCAGCAUGAUAUGCAGGGAAAACUUAGGAUAAAUUUUAGUAAAUUUUAAAAAUCAUUUAUACACACUUUCUAAGGACUUCUAAAAUCUUACCAUCUAUCUUUCAGUGUCUCGGCUGAAGGCGAGGGAAGGGAGAGUUUGGAA
Molecule: long non-coding RNA, 210 nt
Filed under: Bos taurus (domestic cattle)
Lineage: Eukaryota; Metazoa; Chordata; Mammalia; Artiodactyla; Bovidae
Description: long non-coding RNA NONBTAT015159
Source: RNAcentral